Molecule: transfer-messenger RNA, 323 nt
Filed under: Escherichia coli
Lineage: Bacteria; Pseudomonadati; Pseudomonadota; Gammaproteobacteria; Enterobacterales; Enterobacteriaceae
Rfam family: transfer-messenger RNA
About the family: Bacterial tmRNA, also known as 10Sa RNA or SsrA, is named for its dual tRNA and mRNA-like properties. Its role is to liberate the mRNA from a stalled ribosome.
Source: RNAcentral
GGGGCUGAUUCUGGAUUCGACGGGAUUUGCGAAACCCAAGGUGCAUGCCGAGGGGCGGUUGGCCUCGUAAAAAGCCGCAAAAAAUAGUCGCUAGAGCCCUCUCUCCCUAGCCUCCGCUCUUAGGACGGGGAUCAAGAGAGGUCAAACCCAAAAGAGAUCGCGUGGAAGCCCUGCCUGGGGUUGAAGCGUUAAAACUUAAUCAGGCUAGUUUGUUAGUGGCGUGUCCGUCCGCAGCUGGCAAGCGAAUGUAAAGACUGACUAAGCAUGUAGUACCGAGGAUGUAGGAAUUUCGGACGCGGGUUCAACUCCCGCCAGCUCCACCA